CUGCAGUCGAACGAUGAAGCUGGAGCUUGCUCCGGCCGAUUAGUGGCGAACGGGUGAGUAACACGUGAGCAAUCUGCCCUUGACUCUGGGAUAACUGCGGGAAACUGUAGCUAAUACCGGAUACUUUCCUCGCUGGGCAUCCAGCGGGGAAGAAAGAAUUUCGGUCAAGGAUGAGCUCGCGGCCUAUCAGCUAGUUGGUGAGGUAAAGGCUCACCAAGGCGACGACGGGUAGCCGGCCUGAGAGGGUGACCGGCCACACUGGAACUGAGACACGGUCCAGACUCCUACGGGAGGCAGCAGUGGGGAAUAUUGCACAAUGGGCGAAAGCCUGAUGCAGCAACGCCGCGUGAGGGAUGAAGGCCUUCGGGUUGUAAACCUCUUUUAGCAGGGAAGAAGCGAAAGUGACGGUACCUGCAGAAAAAGCACCGGCUAACUACGUGCCAGCGGCCGCGGUAAUACGUAGGGUGCAAGCGUUGUCCGGAAUUAUUGGGCGUAAAGAGCUCGUAGGCGGUUUGUCACGUCUGCUGUGAAAAUCCGAGGCUCAACCUCGGACUUGCAGUGGGUACGGGCAGGCUAGAGUGCGGUAGGGGAGAAGGGAAUUCCUGGUGUAGCGGUGGAAUGCGCAGAUAUCAGGAGGAACACCAAUGGCGAAGGCACUUCUCUGGGCCGUAACUGACGCUGAGGAGCGAAAGCGUGGGGAGCGAACAGGAUUAGAUACCCUGGUAGUCCACGCCGUAAACGGUGGGUGCUAGCUGUGGGCCACAUUCCACGUGGU
RNAcentral lists this ribosomal RNA (775 nucleotides) under uncultured Actinomycetes bacterium. RNAcentral describes it as "bacterial SSU rRNA". It matches the Rfam family "Bacterial small subunit ribosomal RNA", at positions 55 to 840 of the family's 1533-position model. The record is from RNAcentral. Lineage: Bacteria; Bacillati; Actinomycetota; Actinomycetes.